UUAAAAGUAAAUUUUGUAAUCAUAUCUUUCAUGUUAUGUUAAGAGACAUUUUUAUAGACUUUUUCUUGCAAGUGAUAAAAGAGGCAGAAACGGGACAGUUUUUGGGUCAACUUCAAAACGCUAUUUCCAACUCUAUAAACAUCCAUUUGAGACUCUAAAAAUAUUGAUGCGUUCCUUCUUGAGUUGCCUUAGUAUGAACAUAGGAAUCACUCAAUUUGGAUAUCCGUGGCCUAAGAUAUAAAUUUUGAAGCGUCGAAGGGUCAAUAUGAAUUUUCUGUGCAACACCUCACUGUUUUCAGUAAAACGCCCAUAUCAUAUGAUCUUGGAAAUUUUCCAUAUUUUAACCUAGAAAACUACUUGAAAAUAUCUUUCUAAUGCCGCAAAAUUCAUGAAAAACGGAGUUGGGAUGAAUUUUAUAAAAAUAGUUGAACUGGCUGCCCCAAUUAGCCAUGGCAGCACCGAGUCCAUAUACCUAAAGUAUAAUUUCAUGUCGACAUGUACUUUUGCUGGCCAUUAAAUUUUAUCAGAGAUCUUUUACUAACUUGAAAAUAAGUUUUUACAUGUAAUACUUUUAUUUAAGAGUCCUUACAUGUAGCAAAGGCAGAAGUUAUUAUGUUUAGUGCGUGACACUCGAAGUUUAAGUUCGGGGCGUCACACUUUAUGGUUGAGCAGUUACAGGUAUCUCAUUUGCUCUUCGCAGACGACACACUGAUUUUCUGUGAUGUAGAGGUAGAGCAAAUCAGGAAUUUGCGACGUUUGCUCUUGUGCUUUGAAGCUGUAUCUGGAUUGAAAAUAAAUCUGGGGAAAUCUGAAACUAUUGCAGGGGGAGAGGUGGAUAAUAACAUGGUGGAGUUGGCUGCUAUACUAGGAUGCAGGGUUGCGCGAUUGCUUAUGACAUAUCUUGGGCGACCUUUAGGUUUCGGUUUAAAAGCACACAUAUUUGGAAUAGUAUUAUUGAAAGGGUGGAGAGAAGACUUGCGGGGUGGAAGCGGAUGUAUCUCUCAAAGGGAGGUCGUCUUACUCUCAUAAAGUCCACACUGUCGAACCUCCCUACCUACUUUAUGUUGUCGUUUCCUAUUCCUAUUGCAAUGGCAAAAAGAUUGGAGAAGAUCCAAAGGGAUUUUCUUUGGGGAGGAUUAGGGCAGGAGAGGAAAUUACAUUUGGUUAAUUGGGGUAUCAUAUGUUCUCCGAUGAGGUUGGGUGGUCUCGGAUUGAGGAGUCUCAUACUAUUUAAUAAAGCUUUGUUGGGUAAGUGGUUGUGGCGAUUUGGAAAAAAGAGUGGUAGUUUUUGGAGAGAAAUUAUAGGAGCAAAAUAUGGUGUUAUGGAGGGGGAAUGGUGUUUAGUCGAGAGUCGAGGCUCUUAUGGGGUGAGUCUGUCGCUGUAUAUCCGGCGAGGGUGGAGUGAUUUUCGAGAUAAAUUGACGUUUGUAGUGGGAAAUGGUAAUACUAUGAGUUUUUGGGAUGAUUGUUGGUGCGGAGAUCAACCACUAAGAUUGAAAUUUCCUUCCUUGUAUCGUAUUGCAUUGUUGCCAUCUGCCAUGGUGAAUGAUGUCUUAGAUAUUCAUAAUGGGAGUAUCAGCUGGAACAUUGCUUUUGCACGGGGUUUGCAGGAUUGGGAGUUAGACGACUAUGCGCUGUUUUUGACAUCUUUAUAUGAGGUACAAAUCAGGGCAAGAGAAGGUGAUUGCAGCAGGUGGAGGUUGGCACGGGAUGAUAUGUUUUCAGUCGGCACCUUCUUUAAAUCUUUAUUGGGAGCUGAGAAUAGCUCUUUCCCUUGGAAGACAGUGUGGAAGAGUAAAUUGUCACCACGAGUCGCAUUUUUACCAUGGACAGUGGUUAGAGAACAGGUGCUAACGGCGGAAAACCUACGGACAAGGGGUUUUUGUAUUACAGAGUGGUGCUUUAUGUGUCGAAGGGAUGGGGAGACGAUCGGUCACUUGUUUCUCCGUUGUGAUGUUGCUAGUUUACUGUGGAAUGAGAUUUUUGCAUCGCAACACAUAGAUUGGGCGAUGCCAAGGCAUAUGGAAGACGUGUUAAAGGCGUGGAGGAGAAAAUUUCGCGACAAGAAUAG
Molecule: long non-coding RNA, 2071 nt
Filed under: Olea europaea subsp. europaea
Lineage: Eukaryota; Viridiplantae; Streptophyta; Magnoliopsida; Lamiales; Oleaceae
Source: RNAcentral